This 443-nucleotide long non-coding RNA is filed under the name Setaria italica (foxtail millet). Its description in RNAcentral is "long non-coding RNA (SITA_LNC005445)". The record is from RNAcentral. Lineage: Eukaryota; Viridiplantae; Streptophyta; Magnoliopsida; Poales; Poaceae.
CACCUUCGUCUGGGCAAUCUCGAACGAGUCUUGGAUUCUUGGUUGGGAAGGUGCCCAGGACCUCCGCAUCCUCCCUCCAAAUUUGCCUUGUACCUUCGCUCCGCUCGACCGGAUCUGCACAUCUGCAAUCAAACGAAAACAAAAGCUCCACACCUCCACUGAUGACCCGUCGAAGGUAACCAGCAAGCGAAUGACGUUAGAGAUGGUCGAGGAUGAAGCUCGAUCCGAUGAGCUCGGCGGUGAUUCCAUCCCAAAAAGUGACGUGCGAGGGUGACGACCAAAAACCUUGAUCCAUAUUCCCAACAUUGAUGUUUCGUUUCCUACUUCCCUUCUAAAGACGAAUCCAUUGUUAGCCCAACAGUACCACGCAACACGCGCCUUCGGACCUCCAUUCCUGAGUGUUCGGCUCCGAUCUCCCUAAACACUAGUGACCGACUCCUAGG